This 73-nucleotide transfer RNA is filed under the name Bacteroidota bacterium. RNAcentral describes it as "Bacteroidetes bacterium (activated sludge metagenome) tRNA-Thr". It matches the Rfam family "tRNA". Rfam says of the family: Transfer RNA (tRNA) molecules are approximately 80 nucleotides in length. The record is from RNAcentral. Lineage: Bacteria; Pseudomonadati; Bacteroidota. RNAcentral also lists the same sequence under 1 other name.
UCCUCCUUAGCUCAACUGGCAGAGCAAUUGUCUUGUAAACAAUAGGUUGUGGGUUCAACUCCCUCAGGAGGAU